This is a long non-coding RNA of Leptopilina boulardi, 580 nucleotides long. RefSeq lists it as uncharacterized. The record is from RefSeq and is a predicted model, not a curated record. The transcript is spliced from 4 exons. Lineage: Eukaryota; Metazoa; Arthropoda; Insecta; Hymenoptera; Figitidae.
AUUUUGAUCAACUCGAGGAGUCACAGUUUCGGGAACAAUGGCAUAAUUCAACAAUUUUUUUGUUUUGCUGUUAUAAUUGUAAAAAAUAAACAAAAUAAAUGAAUAACAAUGUUCUAUGAGAUGGAAGGCAACAUUUUUUAAUAAUACAGCGAUAAGUGUUGGAAGGAAGUGCCAAUUCAAUAAAUCGAAAAGCAAUUACGAGUGCAGUUAAAUUGAUGAUUACCAUUAGGAAAUCUUUCUGAAAUCAGAAAAAAAGAAUUUGUAUUUCUUACCAGCCUGAGCUUUCACAACAGACACAACUUAAUGUGCCAUAAAAGAGUAGAGACCUGAUGUUGUCUCGUCACAAAACAUAAACGGAGGAUCCAUUAAAACUUCAGAAGCAAAUGAAAGUCGUUUCAUUUCUCCACCAGAGAGUCCUUUUAAUCUUCCAGUGUUCUCUCACUCCGGAAAUUACUUCGUUGACCCUCUUAACUCUUUGUCUAAAAGGAAUAUGCCUGUCCAUUUGCACCAUAGCUUGAAAAAGUACCAAAAAAAGUUCGUCUUGUUGAACAUAAGCUAUUCUUGAGGUCAAAACACUGGC